UUCCAAUUGUUAUUUCUGAAAGCCAGGCAUGAAGAGAGCCAGAAGCUCCUCUGGGCAGUGGGCAAAGGUUGACUUCUGCAGAGGAGUAAACAAUGAAACUGCAAGUAAACAAAGAAGAAAAUGACAUGGCCAGACUGCUUGGAGAAUUGCAUCACUGUUACCAUGAUUUAUGAUUUUGUACCAUGAAAAGACAUGGAAACUCCUUCUGGGUGACAUUAUGUUUCCUUGGAAUCAAGAAGAUCAAAGCAACAUCUGACCUCGGGUGGUUCUUGUGUUGUGCAUUAUGGAAACAGCUACAGCUGCCUUGGAGACUUCCACAUUGCCUGGAGUUUCAGCUGUAAAUUUAGUAGAAUAGCAGGAACUUGAGAGUUGAGGAAGGAAAAUCACUUCUGGGAAGAAGGGAGCCUGUGAAUUUGUAAAUUGUCUAGAAUGAACUAAUACAUUUAACAACUCAUAAAAUCAUAUCCUAGAGCUAAUUUUCUCUACUUUUCUUUACAUAAAAUAGAAUGUAUUUUGCUGUUCUUCAUGGAAGGGGCAAGAAAGUGAGUUGUCUAAUUUCGUUCUAUUCUUGCUAUUCUGUCUCUCUUGUAUAAAUCAGAAAAUUGUUAUUUUGAUGUUGGUCUUUGCUUGUCUAGAACUUCUGCUCUUCCUACAUUUGUCCUUAAGUUAAUAGUUACUUCUCAACUCCUAAUCUAAUAGAUUGCAAGCUUCUACCUUAGAAAAAUAAAGAAAAAAUAUCCCACAAACAAAUAAACCAAAAUAAAGCAAAAAAACCCCAACCCCAAAUCUCAAAACAUUAUUUCAUUUGGAAAUAAUUUCUCUUUGUAAUAUUGCUUAGGUGGUGAGGCACUGAGACAGGAUGCCUGGAGAAGCUGGA
Molecule: long non-coding RNA, 877 nt
Organism: Oenanthe melanoleuca
Lineage: Eukaryota; Metazoa; Chordata; Aves; Passeriformes; Muscicapidae
Exons: 3
Source: RefSeq, a predicted model, not a curated record